Molecule: ribosomal RNA, 573 nt
Filed under: Salmonella enterica subsp. enterica serovar Oranienburg
Lineage: Bacteria; Pseudomonadati; Pseudomonadota; Gammaproteobacteria; Enterobacterales; Enterobacteriaceae
Description: bacterial LSU rRNA
Rfam family: Bacterial large subunit ribosomal RNA
Source: RNAcentral
GUGCUAACGUCCGUCGUGAAGAGGGAAACAACCCAGACCGCCAGCUAAGGUCCCAAAGUCAUGGUUAAGUGGGAAACGAUGUGGGAAGGCCCAGACAGCCAGGAUGUUGGCUUAGAAGCAGCCAUCAUUUAAAGAAAGCGUAAUAGCUCACUGGUCGAGUCGGCCUGCGCGGAAGAUGUAACGGGGCUAAACCAUGCACCGAAGCUGCGGCAGCGAACGUAUCACUUAAAGCGAUUCAGCGGAUGACGAUUGACGGAGCGAAGCGACGUCAAAGCGUAUACAAAGUCGAGUCGGUUUAAGGAUACGUUCGUUGGGUAGGGGAGCGUUCUGUAAGCCUGCGAAGGUGGCCUGUGAGGGUUGCUGGAGGUAUCAGAAGUGCGAAUGCUGACAUAAGUAACGAUAAAGCGGGUGAAAAGCCCGCUCGCCGGAAGACCAAGGGUUCCUGUCCAACGUUAAUCGGGGCAGGGUGAGUCGACCCCUAAGGCGAGGCCGAAAGGCGUAGUCGAUGGGAAACGGGUUAAUAUUCCCGUACUUGGUGUUACUGCGAAGGGGGGACGGAGAAGGCUAUGUUGG